UUGAAGUCGAGAAUGAAAGGAAAGAUUAAAAUAAACUGUCUUAAAAGUUCUUUUUGGAAAUUACUAAUAUGGUGAAAAUUCCAUAAAAAUUUUUAAUAGACGAGAAGACCCUAUGAAUUAUUACUAAAAAUUUUUUAAAAAAUUUAAAUUUUUGUUGGGGCAACAAGAAAAAUUUAAUAAAAAAUUCUAUAAUUUUAAUAUUACAAUUGAAGUUUUUACUAUAAAUGAAUUUAAUU
Molecule: ribosomal RNA, 236 nt
Filed under: Achatinella lila
Lineage: Eukaryota; Metazoa; Mollusca; Gastropoda; Stylommatophora; Achatinellidae
Description: partial 16S ribosomal RNA
Source: RNAcentral